Molecule: long non-coding RNA, 638 nt
Organism: Cercocebus atys (sooty mangabey)
Lineage: Eukaryota; Metazoa; Chordata; Mammalia; Primates; Cercopithecidae
Exons: 5
Source: RefSeq, a predicted model, not a curated record
CAGAGUUAUGACCGCCUGGUUGCAGCUCGUUCCUAAAUUAGCUGCGCCUUUGCUGGGUCCGAAACCCAGAUGAUAGGCUCCGUGGUGGUCUUAAAAUAUAUCCACAAAUUCUCUGACAUCCUCUCUUCAAGAAGUGGAGCUUAAUUCCCUUUCCUUUGAGUGCAGACCACUCCGGGAGAAACCAACAGCUAUGUCAUGGGGAAAUUCAAACCACCUAUGGAGCGAGGCUCACAUGAAUUCUGCAAGUCUGCUACAGUGACAUUUCUGGUUAGGAGUCAGUGUGGAUGGGGCACUGAGCAAUAAGAAUGAAUGAAGAUGGCUGAAGCUGGAGUUUUUCUCUGAAGCAACCACCUGUUGGAAACUUCAUGUCGAAGAUGCCUGAGUAAUACGACAGAGGGAGUCUGGGUCCCUGGUAGAUAUUCCAGAUCUGGGUGUUCAUGGUGAUAUGAGAAAGCAGUAAACUUCAGUUUUGCCUAAAUAGCUGUUACUUGGGGCAUUCUGUCAUUUACGGACAAAUCUGACCUGGAUUAAUACACCUCCGCUGGGUACCAAGACUGAUCUAAUAGUCAAAAAGGUUUCAUUCCGUCUAGAUGUUUCUCUAGAACAGGACCUAAAGAAGUUCUUUAGCUGAAUUUCUU